GAGUACUCGGCUACGAACCGAGCGGUCGGAGGUUCGAAUCCUCCCGGAUGCACCA
RNAcentral lists this transfer RNA (55 nucleotides) under Escherichia coli B105. Its description in RNAcentral is "partial tRNA-Ser". It matches the Rfam family "tRNA", at positions 21 to 71 of the family's 71-position model. Rfam says of the family: Transfer RNA (tRNA) molecules are approximately 80 nucleotides in length. Their secondary structure includes four short double-helical elements and three loops (D, anti-codon, and T loops). Further hydrogen bonds mediate the characteristic L-shaped molecular structure. tRNAs have two regions of fundamental functional importance: the anti-codon, which is responsible for specific mRNA codon recognition, and the 3' end, to which the tRNAs corresponding amino acid is attached (by aminoacyl-tRNA synthetases). tRNAs cope with the degeneracy of the genetic code in two manners: having more than one tRNA (with a specific anti-codon) for a particular amino acid; and 'wobble' base-pairing, i.e. permitting non-standard base-pairing at the 3rd anti-codon position. RNAcentral also lists the same sequence under 1 other name. Lineage: Bacteria; Pseudomonadati; Pseudomonadota; Gammaproteobacteria; Enterobacterales; Enterobacteriaceae. The record is from RNAcentral.